UGUAGUCUGCAACCCGACUACAUGAAGCUGGAAUCGCUAGUAAUCGCGGAUCAGAAUGCCGCGGUGAAUACGUUCCCGGGUCUUGUACACACCGCCCGUCACACCAUGGGAGUCGGAAAUGCCCGAAGUCUGUGACCCAACCUUAGGGAGGGAGCAGCCGAAGGCAGGUCGGAUGACUGGGGUGAAGUCGUAACAAGGUACC
RNAcentral lists this ribosomal RNA (202 nucleotides) under uncultured bacterium. Its description in RNAcentral is "partial 16S ribosomal RNA". It matches the Rfam family "Bacterial small subunit ribosomal RNA", at positions 1299 to 1500 of the family's 1533-position model. The record is from RNAcentral.